GUCUAUGGCCAUACCACCCUGAACACGCCCAAUCUCAUCUGAUCUCAGAAGCUAAGCAGGGUCAGGCCUGGUUAGUACCUGAAUGGGAGAGAGGGAGAGAGACAGAGAAA
Erinaceus europaeus (western European hedgehog) is the source of this 110-nucleotide ribosomal RNA. The record is from Ensembl. Lineage: Eukaryota; Metazoa; Chordata; Mammalia; Eulipotyphla; Erinaceidae.